CCUACGGGGGGCUGCAGUGGGGAAUAUUGGACAAUGGGCGAAAGCCUGAUCCAGCCAUGCUGCGUGUGUGAAGAAGGCCUUCGGGUUGUAAAGCACUUUCAGUGGGGAAGAAAGCCUUGGGGCUAAUACCCUCGAGGAAGGACAUCACCCACAGAAGAAGCACCGGCUAACUCCGUGCCAGCAGCCGCGGUAAUACGGAGGGUGCGAGCGUUAAUCGGAAUUACUGGGCGUAAAGCGCGCGUAGGCGGUCUGAUAAGCCGGUUGUGAAAGCCCCGGGCUCAACCUGGGAACGGCAUCCGGAACUGUCAGGCUAGAGUGCAGGAGAGGAAGGUAGAAUUCCCGGUGUAGCGGUGAAAUGCGUAGAGAUCGGGAGGAAUACCAGUGGCGAAGGCGGCCUUCUGGACUGACACUGACGCUGAGGUGCGAAAGCGUGGGUAGCAAACAGGAUUAGAUACCCUAGUAGUC
RNAcentral lists this ribosomal RNA (465 nucleotides) under Vreelandella stevensii. RNAcentral's name for it is "partial 16S ribosomal RNA". It matches the Rfam family "Bacterial small subunit ribosomal RNA", at positions 338 to 795 of the family's 1533-position model. The record is from RNAcentral. Lineage: Bacteria; Pseudomonadati; Pseudomonadota; Gammaproteobacteria; Oceanospirillales; Halomonadaceae.